AACGCGAAGAACCUUACCUGGGCUAGAAUGUAACUUGACCGAUCCUGAAAGGGGUCUUUGUAGCAAUACACAGGUUACAAGGUGCUGCAUGGUUGUCGUCAGCUCGUGCCGUGAGGUGUUGGGUUAAGUCCCGCAACGAGCGCAACCCCUAUCUUUAGUUGCCAGCGAGUCAUGUCGGGGACUCUAAAGAGACUGCCUGCGUAAGCAGAGAGGAAGGAGGGGACGACGUCAAAUCAUCAUGGCCUUUAUGCCCAGGGCUACACACGUGCUACAAUGGUGUUUACAAAGGGCAGCCAACUGGCAACAGUGAGCCAAUCCCAGAAAAAACAUCUCAGUUCGGAUUGAAGUCUGCAACCCGACUUCAUGAAGCUGGAAUCGCUAGUAAUCGUGGAUCAGCAAUGCCACGGUGAAUACGUUCCCGGGCCUUGUACACACCGCUAGUC
Molecule: ribosomal RNA, 443 nt
Filed under: uncultured bacterium
Lineage: Bacteria
Description: bacterial SSU rRNA
Rfam family: Bacterial small subunit ribosomal RNA
Source: RNAcentral